Molecule: ribosomal RNA, 532 nt
Filed under: uncultured bacterium
Lineage: Bacteria
Description: bacterial SSU rRNA
Rfam family: Bacterial small subunit ribosomal RNA
Source: RNAcentral
CCUUGACAUACUAAGAACUUUCCAGAGAUGGAUUGGUGCCUUCGGGAACUUAGAUACAGGUGCUGCAUGGCUGUCGUCAGCUCGUGUCGUGAGAUGUUGGGUUAAGUCCCGCAACGAGCGCAACCCUUUUCCUUAUUUGCCAGCGGGUCAUGCCGGGAACUUUAAGGAUACUGCCAGUGACAAACUGGAGGAAGGCGGGGACGACGUCAAGUCAUCAUGGCCCUUACGGCCAGGGCUACACACGUGCUACAAUGGUCGGUACAAAGGGUUGCUACCUCGCGAGAGGAUGCUAAUCUCAAAAAGCCGAUCGUAGUCCGGAUCGCAGUCUGCAACUCGACUGCGUGAAGUCGGAAUCGCUAGUAAUCGCGGAUCAGAAUGCCGCGGUGAAUACGUUCCCGGGCCUUGUACACACCGCCCGUCACACCAUGGGAGUUUGUUGCACCAGAAGUAGGUAGUCUAACCGCAAGGAGGACGCUUACCACGGUGUGGACCGAUGACUGGGGUGAAGUCGUAACAAGGUAAGCGUAGAUGA